CAUCAGACGGAUGGGCAUCUGUGAGCAGAUGACCGCGUCUGUGAGCAGCCAGCCUGCUGGACCUCCUCUUCCAUGGCACUGGGUGUCACUUGUGUUUUGCAGACUCAGAAGAAGCCUGCCAUUCUCUACAACUUCUUGCUAGAAACAAUGACCUAUGUUAAAAGCAACUUGUCAAGGAUCAGAAUCGCUGCAUGUAACUUGGCAGGAAUCAUUAUGAAGCAGAUGUCUGCGCAUUACUUGAGAAAGCUGGAUUUUCCAGCAUUACGGAAUUCUCUCCAGGAGCUACAGCUGGACUCAGAUCCUGGUGUUUGGAGGGCAGCUCUGG
Capra hircus (goat) is the source of this 325-nucleotide long non-coding RNA. RefSeq lists it as uncharacterized. Lineage: Eukaryota; Metazoa; Chordata; Mammalia; Artiodactyla; Bovidae. The record is from RefSeq and is a predicted model, not a curated record. The transcript has 3 exons.